AUCCAGCUGAAGGGUCCGAAUAGGACGAAACGGCGUCCUGGAU
This is a non-coding RNA of Schistosoma mansoni, 43 nucleotides long. NCBI's taxonomy places the organism in Eukaryota, Metazoa, Platyhelminthes, Trematoda, Strigeidida, Schistosomatidae. The record is from Rfam.